UUACGGUCAUAUCACGUUGAAACACCGGUUCUCGUGCGAAGUUAAGCAACGUCGCAUAUGGUCAGUACCAAGAUGAGUGACCGCUUGCGAAUACCAGGUACUAU
Molecule: non-coding RNA, 104 nt
Organism: Acanthosepion pharaonis
Lineage: Eukaryota; Metazoa; Mollusca; Cephalopoda; Sepiida; Sepiidae
Source: the annotation of a GenBank genome assembly